RNAcentral lists this ribosomal RNA (408 nucleotides) under uncultured bacterium. Its description in RNAcentral is "partial 16S ribosomal RNA". It matches the Rfam family "Bacterial small subunit ribosomal RNA", at positions 354 to 750 of the family's 1533-position model. The record is from RNAcentral.
UGGGGGAAUUUUGGACAAUGGGCGAAAGCCUGAUCCAGCAAUGCCGCGUGUGUGAAGAAGGCCUUCGGGUUGUAAAGCACUUUUGUCCGGAAAGAAAUCCUUGGGCUCUAAAUACAGUCGGGGGAUGACGGUACCGGAAGAAUAAGCACCGGCUAACUACGUGCCAGCAGCCGCGGUAAUACGUAGGGUGCAAGCGUUAAUCGGAAUUACUGGGCGUAAAGCGUGCGCAGGCGGUUUGCUAAGACCGAUGUGAAAUCCCCGGGCUCAACCUGGGAACUGCAUUGGGUGACUGGGCAGGCUAGAGUAUGGCAGAGGGGGGUAGAAUUCCACGUGUAGCAGUGAAAUGCGUAGAGAUGUGGAGGAAUACCGAUGGCGAAGGCAGCCCCCUGGGCCAAUACUGACGCUCAC